Long non-coding RNA from Trichechus manatus latirostris (Florida manatee), 286 nucleotides. RefSeq lists it as uncharacterized. NCBI's taxonomy places the organism in Eukaryota, Metazoa, Chordata, Mammalia, Sirenia, Trichechidae. The transcript has 3 exons. The record is from RefSeq and is a predicted model, not a curated record.
GCACCGUUGGAUCUGCCAAACAAACAGGCCAACCACCUCAGUCAAGGCCCCACACGACUUUGCUUCCUGGAACAAUGGAGCAGCGGAAGGGGUGGUAGCACAAUACGUACAUACUGUUGGUUGCUGUCUACUUCCUGAAAGGAAAAGAAGUGAGAGAAAUAUUGGAUAAUGAAGGAAGCCGAUGAAAUCUCACAUGUACACGACAGACUGUCACCAAUCUGGAGGAUGCAGUCACUUCAUAGGCAUGCGAAAGCUGAGCAAUGAAAAAAGGAAGAGAGAAGAAUUG